UGAAAUCUCGAAGCUCAACUUCGAAACUGCGUCUGAAACUGCUAGUCUAGAGUGUCGGAGGGGGAAGGGGAAUUUCACGUGUAGGGGUAAAAUCCGUAGAGAUGUGAAGGAACACCGGGGGCGAAGGCGCCUUCCUGGACGACUACUGACGCUGAGGCGCGAAAGCGUGGGGAGCAAACAGGAUUAGAUACCCUGGUAGUCCACGCCGUAGACGAUGAACACUAGUUAUUGGGGGUAUUGACUUUUUCAGUGACGCAGCUAACGCAUUAAG
RNAcentral lists this ribosomal RNA (271 nucleotides) under uncultured Peredibacter sp. RNAcentral's name for it is "partial 16S ribosomal RNA". It matches the Rfam family "Bacterial small subunit ribosomal RNA", at positions 595 to 864 of the family's 1533-position model. The record is from RNAcentral. Lineage: Bacteria; Pseudomonadati; Bdellovibrionota; Bacteriovoracia; Bacteriovoracales; Bacteriovoracaceae.